CCUACGGGUGGCAGCAGUGAGGAAUAUUGGUCAAUGGGCGCGAGCCUGAACCAGCCAAGUCGCGUGAGGGAAGACGGUCCUAUGGAUGGUAAACCUCUUUUGUCGGGGAGCAAAAGACGCCACGUGUGGCGUUCCGAGAGUACCCGAAGAAAAAGCAUCGGCUAACUCCGUGCAAGCAGCCGCGGUAAUACGGAGGGUGCGAGCGUUAACUGGAGUUAUUGGGGUUAAAGGGUGAGUAGGCGGAUUGAUAAGUGAGAGGUGAAAUGUCGGAGCUUAACUCGGGAACUGCCUCUAAUCCGGUUGUGCUAGAGCGUAGAUGCGGUAGGCGGAAUGUAUGGUGUAGCGGUGAAAUGCUUAGAGAUCAUACAGAACACCGAGUGCGAAGGCAGCUUACCAAUCUAUAUCUGACGUUGAGGCACGAAAGCGUGGGGAGCAAACAGGAUGAGAUACCCGAGUAGUC
This 460-nucleotide ribosomal RNA is filed under the name uncultured bacterium. RNAcentral's name for it is "partial 16S ribosomal RNA". It matches the Rfam family "Bacterial small subunit ribosomal RNA", at positions 338 to 795 of the family's 1533-position model. The record is from RNAcentral.